UUCCGGUUGAUCCUGCCGGAGGCCAUUGCUAUCGGGGUCCGAUUUAGCCAUGCUAGUCGUACGAGUUUACACUCGUGGCGAAUAGCUCCGUAACACGUGGCCAAACCACCCUCCAGAGAACCAUAACCUCGGGAAACUGAGGCUAAUAGUUCAUACCCGUCCCACGCUGGAAUGCCGGGACGCGCAAACGUUCCGACGCUGGAGGACGUGGCUGCGGCCGAUUAGGUUGACGGUGGGGUAACGGCCCACCGUGCCGAUAAUCGGUACGGGUUGUGAGAGCAAGAACCCGGAGACGGAAUCUGAGACAAGAUUCCGGGCCCUACGGGGCGCAGCAGGCGCGAAACCUUUACACUGCACGCGAGUGCGAUAAGGGGACCCCGAGUGCGAGGGCAUACAGUCCUCGCUUUUCAGCACCGUAGGGAGGUGCUGGAAUAAGAGCUGGGCAAGACCGGUGCCAGCCGCCGCGAUAAUACCGGCAGCUCAAGUGAUGGCCGAUCUUAUUGGGCCUAAAGCGUUCGUAGCCGGCCACGCAAGUCCAUCGGGAAAUCCGUCAGCCCAACUGACGGGCGUCCGGUGGAAACUGCGUGGCUUGGGACCGGAAGACCCGAAGGGUACGUCUUGGGUAGGAGUGAAAUCCCGUAAUCCUGGACGGACCGCCGAUGGCGAAAGCACUUCGGGAA
Molecule: ribosomal RNA, 680 nt
Filed under: uncultured archaeon
Lineage: Archaea
Description: bacterial SSU rRNA
Rfam family: Archaeal small subunit ribosomal RNA
Source: RNAcentral